GCAAGUCGAGCGGUAACAGGAAUUAGCUUGCUAAUUCGCUGACGAGCGGCGGACGGGUGAGUAAUGCCUGGGAAUAUGCCUUAGUGUGGGGGAUAACCAUUGGAAACGAUGGCUAAUACCGCAUAAUGCCUACGGGCCAAAGAGGGGGAUCUUCGGACCUCUCGCCAUUUGAUUAGCCCAAGUGAGAUUAGCUAGUAGGUGAGGUAAAGGCUCACCUAGGCGACGAUCUCUAGCUGGUUUGAGAGGAUGAUC
Molecule: ribosomal RNA, 252 nt
Filed under: uncultured bacterium
Lineage: Bacteria
Description: partial 16S ribosomal RNA
Rfam family: Bacterial small subunit ribosomal RNA
Source: RNAcentral